This 247-nucleotide ribosomal RNA is filed under the name uncultured bacterium. Its description in RNAcentral is "partial 16S ribosomal RNA". It matches the Rfam family "Bacterial small subunit ribosomal RNA", at positions 15 to 236 of the family's 1533-position model. The record is from RNAcentral.
GAUCAUGGCUCAGGACGAACGUUGGCGGCGUGCUUAACACAUGCAAGUCGAACGAGAGGACAAGAGAAGCUUGCUUCUUUUGGAAUCGAGUGGCAAACGGGUGAGUAACACGUAAACAACCUGCCUUCAGGAUGGGGACAACAGACGGAAACGACUGCUAAUACCGAAUACGCUUGGGAGACCGCAUGAUCUACCAAGGAAAGGGUGGCCUCUACCUGUAAGCUAUCGCCUGAAGAGGGGUUUGCGU